This 810-nucleotide ribosomal RNA is filed under the name Phyllocoptruta sp. 18sr93. RNAcentral describes it as "partial 18S ribosomal RNA". It matches the Rfam family "Eukaryotic small subunit ribosomal RNA", at positions 389 to 910 of the family's 1831-position model. The record is from RNAcentral. Lineage: Eukaryota; Metazoa; Arthropoda; Arachnida; Trombidiformes; Eriophyidae.
ACAAGCCUGAGAAACGGCUAGUAGGACUAAGGUCUGCAGCAGGCGCGAAACUUACACAAUGCUAGAUUAACAUUAGCGAUGUAGUGAAGAAAAAUAACGAUAUACUUCCUUUUAAACAAGGUAGUAUAAUUGGAAUGAGGCGAUUUUAAACCAAUUAGCCGAGUAACAAAUGGAGGGCAAGUCUGGUGCCAGCAGCCGCGGUAAUUCCAGCUCCAUUAGCAUACAUUAAAGUUGUUGCGGUUAAAAAGCUCGUAGUUGAAUUUCUAGCGGUUUUUAAUGGUUGAGUUCCAUUAAGGCGUUGGUUGGAGAUUGUCGAAACUUCACUGUCUCCUCAUAUCCCCUCCAAUCGCUGGUUCUCAAACCCAUUUCAAAGCCGCUGUUUCGUCACUUAAUCGAGUGCGAAGCAGGUUGGAACAAACCCUCGAAUUUUAGGAUUCAGGUUGUUACAACGCGUUUACCUUGAGAAAAUUAGAGUGCUCACAGCAGGCAGUUGGGAUGUAAAAGUCCCUUUAUGCUUGAAUAAUGUUGCAUGGAAUAAUAGAAUACGGCCUCGGUUCUAUUCUGUUGGUCUUAUAGAACAACAAACAAGUUGGUUGAUGUGGCGUUUAAAAGUUUACUUAAAGUGUGGUUCAAUUGGACUGCGCGCUCUCUCAUAACUUGUUGCCUAGCGGUUAAACGUUAGAGCCAUUUAUCGGAGUACGCAACUCCUCUUUUGCCAUUAAAGCACUCUAUGCUAAGCUAGCUCUCACUCCAACUGAGGCAAUGGUUAAAAGAAAUAGUCGCGGCGGCAUCAGUACUGCAUCGUGAGAG